AUGGAGACAGCCGCCGCCGUGUCCCUGCCCAGAUCCGCCGGCCGUGCCGCGCUCCCCUUCCCGGCUCCCCUCAAGCUCCAGGGCCGCGUUGCGCUCCCCCGCCGUGCGCUCUCCGGGGCGCCAGGGCCGAGGCAGCGCCUCGUCGCGCGCUGCGCGGCUGCCGACAACAGUGCGGCGGCGGAGCUCCCCAUCGAGAAAAGAUUCGCCGCCUUCCCCACCAUCAUGGACAUCAACCAGAUCCGCGAGAUCCUGCCCCACAGGUUCCCCUUCCUUCUGGUAGAUAGGGUGAUCGAGUACAAGGCAGGAGAGUAUGCUGUUGCGAUCAAGAAUGUCACUAUAAAUGACAACUUCUUCCCCGGCCACUUCCCGGAGCGCCCGAUAAUGCCCGGCGUUCUCAUGGUUGAGGCCAUGGCCCAGGUUGGCGGUAUCGUGAUGCUGCAGCCUGAAGUCGGUGGAUCCCAAGACAAUUUCUAUUUUGCAGGGGUUGAUAAGGUGAGAUUCAGGAAACCAGUCAUUGCUGGUGACACUUUGGUCAUGAGGAUGACCCUCACCAAGUAUCAGAAGAAAUUCGGGCUUGCAAAGAUGGAAGGAAAGGCUUAUGUGGGUGGCGACUUAGUAUGUGAGGGGGAGUUUCUCCUUAUUAGCUCCACUGGGUGA
This 657-nucleotide ribosomal RNA is filed under the name Triticum aestivum (bread wheat). RNAcentral's name for it is "partial small subunit ribosomal RNA". The record is from RNAcentral. Lineage: Eukaryota; Viridiplantae; Streptophyta; Magnoliopsida; Poales; Poaceae.